Molecule: ribosomal RNA, 197 nt
Filed under: uncultured bacterium
Lineage: Bacteria
Description: partial 16S ribosomal RNA
Rfam family: Bacterial small subunit ribosomal RNA
Source: RNAcentral
ACGCUCGACACCUACGGAGGCAGCAGUGGGGAAUAUUGCACAAUGGGGGAAACCCUGAUGCAGCGACGCCGCGUGGAGGAAGAAGGUCUUCGGAUUGUAAACUCCUGUUGUUGGGGAAAAAGAGGAUGGUACCCAACAAGGAAGUGACGGCUAACUACGUGACAGCAGCCGCGGUAAUCUGAGCGGGCUGGCAAGGC